This 700-nucleotide ribosomal RNA is filed under the name Peroneutypa scoparia. RNAcentral describes it as "SSU rRNA". It matches the Rfam family "Eukaryotic small subunit ribosomal RNA", at positions 90 to 800 of the family's 1831-position model. The record is from RNAcentral. Lineage: Eukaryota; Fungi; Ascomycota; Sordariomycetes; Xylariales; Diatrypaceae.
CGAAUGGCUCAUUAAAUCAGUUAUCGUUUAUUUGAUAGUACCUUACUACUUGGAUAACCGUGGUAAUUCUAGAGCUAAUACGUGCUAAUAAUCCCGACUCACGAAGGGGUGUAUUAAUUAGAUUAAAAACCAAUGCCCUUCGGGGCUCUUUGGUGAUUCAUAAUAACUUCUCGAAUCGCAUGGCCUUGUGCCGGCGAUGGUUCAUUCAAAUUUCUGCCCUAUCAACUUUCGAUGGCAGGGUCUUGGCCUGCCAUGGUUACAACGGGUAACGGAGGGUUAGGGCUCGACCCCGGAGAAGGAGCCUGAGAAACGGCUACUACAUCCAAGGAAGGCAGCAGGCGCGCAAAUUACCCAAUCCCGAUUCGGGGAGGUAGUGACAAUAAAUACUGAUACAGGGCUCUUUUGGGUCUUGUAAUUGGAAUGAGUACAAUUUAAAUCCCUUAACGAGCAACAAUUGGAGGGCAAGUCUGGUGCCAGCAGCCGCGGUAAUUCCAGCUCCAAUAGCGUAUAUUAAAGUUGUUGCAGUUAAAAAGCUCGUAGUUGAACCUUGGGCCUGGCUGGCCGGUCCGCCUCACCGCGUGCACUGGUUCGGCCGGGCCUUUCCCUCUGGGGAUCCCCAUGCCCUUUACUGGGUGUGGUGGGGAACCAGGACUUUUACUGUGAAAAAAUUAGAGUGUUCAAAGCAGGCCUAUGCUCGAAU